Molecule: small nuclear RNA, 107 nt
Organism: Phyllostomus hastatus (greater spear-nosed bat)
Lineage: Eukaryota; Metazoa; Chordata; Mammalia; Chiroptera; Phyllostomidae
Source: RefSeq, a predicted model, not a curated record
GGGCUCACUCCAGCAGCACACGCACUAAAAUUGAAACGAUACAGAGAAGACUAUCACAGCCCCUGCCCAAAGAUGACACACAAAUUCCUGAAGCAUCCCAUAUUUUA